Molecule: ribosomal RNA, 400 nt
Filed under: uncultured bacterium
Lineage: Bacteria
Description: bacterial SSU rRNA
Rfam family: Bacterial small subunit ribosomal RNA
Source: RNAcentral
UCGAGAAUAUUCCACAAUGGGCGAAAGCCUGAUGGAGCGACGCCGCGUGCAGGAAGAAGGCCUUCGGGUUGUAAACUGCGGUAGUCUGUUAAUAACUAAGGUGAAUGACAGACGGAAAGAGGUUGGUAACUACGUGCCAGCACCCGCGGUAAUACGUAGACCUCGAGCGUUAUCCGGAUUUAUUGGGCGUAAAGGGUGUGUAGGGGGCAUUGCGCGUCUCAUGUUAAAUCUUGAUGCCUAACAUCAAGACUGCAUGGGAUACGGCAAAGCUAGAGGGCGCUAGAGGUGAAUAGAACGCACGGUGUAGGGGUGAAAUCCGUUGAUAUCGUGCGGAAUACCAAAGGCGAAGGCAGUUCACUGGGGCGCACCUGACCCUGAAACACGAAAGCGUGGGGAGCAA